This 807-nucleotide ribosomal RNA is filed under the name Triticum aestivum (bread wheat). Its description in RNAcentral is "partial small subunit ribosomal RNA". The record is from RNAcentral. Lineage: Eukaryota; Viridiplantae; Streptophyta; Magnoliopsida; Poales; Poaceae.
AUGCUGGAGGUGGCCGCGGUCGUUGCUAUGGAGGGCUCGCCACCCGCCUCCGGAGUCCCACGUCCUCGAGAUCAACGAGAUUGCCAAGCCGAGGUCAUCAUCUCUCGACGGGCUCCUCCAUCACUUCUGGUUUCACACAAUGGCUGUGGGCUGCCUCUCCCUCUCGAUCCUGCGCUCCUCCUCCUCCGGUUCAGGUUUCAGGCCGUGGCUUAUGGUCGCCUCUCCAUAUCCAUCCUUCCAAUCUGGAGCACAGGUGGAGAGCCUGGCUGUGUGUGGCGGAGAUGGCGCCCCGCAUCUGCGCCCUAUAAGCCCAGACAGAGCUCCGCCGAGGCCAUGACCUCCACAGGUGUUCUUACAUCUCCUGAAUGGAUGUUUCUCUUUGCAUUUCGGCCGCUCGGCCCACUUCCGAUGAUCCACUACAUCAUCACUGUUUGCGGAGGAUCACAGGUGUACUGCCAGCAGUUUCAAUUUAACCGGGUGGUUGCCAUCAUCGUGAGACUACCAACUGGAGGAGCUGCAACGGCUCUUUAUUCCAGCCGUAUCCGAUGCCCCGAGCCGGAACUUUCAGGUCACCUACAGCACACGGUGCUCGUGGCGCGCCGUUGGCGCCGGCGUCGGCGGGGACACGGGAAGUCUGAUGAGGUCUCGGGGUGUGUCUUGUGCUUGAUUUUUGACACCACGAGCUCCUGGAGGGGAGGCCGCAAGGCGGGAGAGCCAGCAGCGGCAUUCUGUUUGGGGAUGCGUGGAUCUGGUGAUGCUGGAGCAGGGGAACAGGAAACAUCACAUCCGCAACGGCGUUUCAAAUAG